RNAcentral lists this ribosomal RNA (568 nucleotides) under uncultured bacterium. RNAcentral's name for it is "bacterial SSU rRNA". It matches the Rfam family "Bacterial small subunit ribosomal RNA", at positions 74 to 637 of the family's 1533-position model. The record is from RNAcentral.
GGGGGGUAACCCCUGGUGGCGAGUGGCGAACGGGUGAGUAAUACAUCGGAACGUAUCCUGUAGCGGGGGAUAACCUCUCGAAAGAGAGGCUAAUACCGCAUACGACCUACGGGUGAAAGAGGGGGAUCGCAAGACCUCUCACUAUAGGAGCGGCCGAUGUCGGAUUAGCUAGUUGGUGGGGUAAAAGCUCACCAAGGCAACGAUCCGUAGCUGGUCUGAGAGGACGACCAGCCACACUGGAACUGAGACACAGUCCAGACUCCUACGGGAGGCAGCAGUGGGGAAUUUUGGACAGGGGGCGCAAGCCUGAUCCAGCCAUGCCGCGUGGGUGAAGAAGGCCUUCGGGUUGUAAAGCCCUUUCGGCUGGGACGAAAAGAUUCGGGUUAAUAACCCGGAUCCAUGACGGUACCAGCAGAAGAAGCACCGGCUAACUACGUGCCAGCAGCCGCGGUAAUACGUAGGGUGCAGGCGUUAAUCGGAAUUACUGGGCGUAAAGCGUGCGCAGGCGGUCUGCUAAAAAAGAUGUAAAAUCCCCGGGCUUAACCUGGGAACUGCGUUUCUAACUGGC